Chiroxiphia lanceolata (lance-tailed manakin) is the source of this 606-nucleotide long non-coding RNA. RefSeq lists it as uncharacterized. The record is from RefSeq and is a predicted model, not a curated record. NCBI's taxonomy places the organism in Eukaryota, Metazoa, Chordata, Aves, Passeriformes, Pipridae. The transcript has 3 exons.
GCUCUCCCUCCUGCAGGAACAUCUCUGCGUCUUUCAGUCGGCUUCACGUUAUCUUGUUGCUCCUGGCUACCUUUUGGCUUUCAGCCACUGUUGUCUCUGUUCAGGACUGCUCCGCUGCCGCUUUCAGUGUCUUCUGCUGCUGCUGACAAUGUGUGGAGGAAUUGAUUUGCUCACUGUAAGCAAAAUAGCUGCUCUUGGUCGAAGGACUGGUCUGUGUAGAACAGCAGAUUUCUUGCCAUGUUUCUCCUUCCAGCUCUUCCUCAAAACUCUUCCUGUGCCAUCCACUGACACCUUUCUAGCCCCCAAUCAUCUGCUCGAAUCUCUAAAACACGUGACUCAUGUUCCAUUUUUAUAUUCAUCUUCACAUGACUCCUGAAUCUUUCUGUGUGCAUUUUUGUUUGUUUUCUCACUGGGUUGUAAAUGAGCUGUUGUCACAUCUGGUUUCUUGGGUAGGACUUUGGCCUUUCAGUUACACACCGAGUAAUUCUUCCCUCCUUUUCUGGUUCAUAAUCCUUACCUAAAGGAAGGGGCUGAAUGUGAAAGCCUUAAUUUACUUAGUGAAACAGUUGUCUACAAAAGAAGUUGCUUCAAACACCAAUUGCAAAA